This 438-nucleotide long non-coding RNA is filed under the name Populus trichocarpa (black cottonwood). RNAcentral describes it as "long non-coding RNA (PTRI_LNC000525)". Lineage: Eukaryota; Viridiplantae; Streptophyta; Magnoliopsida; Malpighiales; Salicaceae. The record is from RNAcentral.
GCUUUCUUUGUAUAUAACGUGUCAAGCCAAGUCCAUACCAACGAAGAUUCACGAUUUAGCCGUUCUCAACGGGGUCAAAAUUAUCCACCACGCACACCACCGUGGUUUCAAACAGAACCGCCAUCCAAGACUUUCUUUUGCCCUCCCGAACGGUUACGUAACGUACAAUAACUUCACCUUUUCUCUUCCUUGUUCUUCAUUUUUUUUUUAACUCUAACAUUAUUUACACUUCAUUUCAAAAAAAAUCAUGCGCCAGUUUUUUCAAUCUUUAAAUAAAAAAUAUAUCAUAUGUAUGGAUAUUAUAACAUCUGAUUUUUUUUUAAUUAUAAAUGUCAUAGAACAGAAAAAUUAAUUAUUCCCUGCUUGUUUAGCUAGGAUUAAUUUUUAACUAUAUAUGAUACAGAUUGGACGAUAUUCGUCUCCAAUUUAAUAUGGCUG